RNAcentral lists this ribosomal RNA (253 nucleotides) under uncultured bacterium. Its description in RNAcentral is "partial 16S ribosomal RNA". It matches the Rfam family "Bacterial small subunit ribosomal RNA", at positions 524 to 776 of the family's 1533-position model. The record is from RNAcentral.
UACAGAGGGUGCAAGCGUUAAUCGGAAUUACUGGGCGUAAAGAGCGUGUAGGCGGCCAGAUAAGUCCGCUGUGAAAUCUCGAGGCUCAACUUCGAGCUGUCGGUGGAAACUGUCUGGCUAGAGUCCGGAAGAGGAGAAUGGAAUUCCUGGUGUAGCGGUGAAAUGCGCAGAUAUCAGGAAGAACACCCGUGGCGAAGGCGGUUCUCUGGGACGGUACUGACGCUGAGACGCGAAAGCGUGGGGAGCGAACAGG